Molecule: long non-coding RNA, 1624 nt
Organism: Salmo trutta (river trout)
Lineage: Eukaryota; Metazoa; Chordata; Actinopteri; Salmoniformes; Salmonidae
Source: Ensembl
GUACUAUUAUUAUUAUCUGUGAUUAUAAAUGAUGUAUAACUCAUUCUUAUAUUUGACUAUAUUUUAUGACAGUAUUUUCACCUAACAUCAUUCUCUUUGUCUUAUUAUGUUUCAGACCGGAAUGGGUAGCCCGGGUGCAACUGGUAACACAGGGGUGGGCUGGGUAGGGUCGAGUGCAACAGGGCAAGGUAACAGGGGGUCAGCUGCUGGAACAGGUGUGAUGGCAGGAAUAGGUGGGUGGGGCGCAUCUGCAUCUGCAACAGGAAACAGCAAUACAGUGUUUGGCAACACAGGAACGGGCAGGGCAGGGUCAAGUGCAACAGGAGUGGGUACUAGGGGAUCAGGAGGGACAGGACUGAGUGGUGCCGGGUCACCAUCAGGUGUUGCAAAGAAAAUCGGACCAGGCUUGGAUAGCGCCAAUGGUUACAGUUUAGCAAAUAUCAAUCAAUACUUACGCGAGCUGCAGCAGUAUUCCAAACCCAACUCCGGCUCAGAGUGAGUUCAAACCCCCUGUACAGCAAAGUGACCCGUAAAUAAAUGUGCUUGUGCCAAAAAUUACCAUGUUUCCUAGACCUUUUAAUUCAACAUGGCUGAGAGAACAUUUAGUGAUAACAUUCAAAUGUGAUCUGCUGCCUGCAGUAGACACAAUGAACUGAACAAGUAUUUCUAUUGUUUCUUCUUGUCUGCAGAGUAUCUGGGUAAUCCAUGGAAUCUCAGAGGAAAAUGGAGAAGGAAUGGGACCCUCUACUAUAAAACCCAGUCUCCUCAUAUUGACUUAUGGUAUGUUAAUACACUGAGUGUACAAAACAUUAAGGACACCUGCUCUUUCCAUGACACAGACUGACCAGGUGAAUCCAGGUGAAAGCUAUGAUCCCUUAUUGAUGUCACUUGUUAAAUCCACUUCAAUCAGUGUAGAUGAAGGGGAGGAGACAGGUUAAAUAAGGAUUUUUAAGCCUUGAGACAAAUGAGACAUGGAUUGUGUAUGCGUGCCAUUCAGAGGGUGAAGGGGCAAAACAAAAGAUGUAAGUGCCUUUGAACGGGGUACGGUAGUAGGUACCAGUUUGUGUCAACAACUGCAACGCUUCUGGGUUACUCACCCUCAACAGUUUCCUGUGUGCAUCAAGAAUGGUCCACCCCCCAAGGACAUCCAGCCAAUUUGACAGAACUGUGGGAAGCAUUGGAGUCAACAUGGGCCAGCAUCCCCCUGUGGAAUGCUUUCUACACCUUAUAGAGUCAAAGCCCCAAAGAAUUGAGACUGGGGGUGCAACUCAGUGUUAGGAAGGUGUCCUUAAUGUUUUGUACAUCCCGUGUAUGUAUAAUAUAAUUUCUAUCAGCAGCAGCUGCAGCUGCAUUGUAAUAUAUCAUAAAAGAAGAUCUGUUGCUAUUGUGACAUGUAUUACAUUUUUGCACUUUUUGGGGGCUUGAAUGUCAUUGGUAAACAAAUACGAAUGUAUAUUAUUUGAAUAUGUUGAUUUAGUCAGGAAAAAGGCAUGAAAGUCAUAAAUAAUCUGUUUUGAAUGUACUAUACAUACUUUUAUUAAAACAAAAGGGUAGUUAUUGUAACUCCUGUUCUAUGAAUGAUGUGUGAUGACCUCAAUGUUUAAGGCCCUACUUUGAAUUUCAC